CAUGUAUAACCUACUCAAUUUAUUACAACAUGCUCUAAAUUCAUAUUUGCAAUCUACCAUAUAAUCCAUGAAUUCGAGCUAGAAUAGUUUAUCCAAAAUCGAAAUCUAUACAUGUCGACGAUUAUGAACUUAGGAGUAAAACCGAUGUAAACCCACCUCAAAGCUAAUCCCUGGCAGUACGGAACUCCCUCGGCUGCGGCACAACCUGCUGGAUCGACUGAAAAUGUCCGAGUCUCGAAAUCAAGCUAUCUCCAAGCUAUCAACAUCGAAUCCACAAUUCGGUCCAAAAACACAGUAUCAGAGAAAGGAAGGGUUUCGACCAAGCUAACCUUCACCAAAAUCCACAAGUAAGGGCUUCGUGGAUUCCUCUCGCAGUCCUGAAUCCAGCGAACCAAGUUUCGUCGCGAUCCGAUGCUCCAACGUCGCGUACGAGCCAAAAUACCGACAGUCGACGCAGAAAUCUGCAGCAGUAGCACCCGAGCUCGAAAUUGAUGGAAUUGAAGUACUUGGAGGAAUGCCCACAGAUAAAGCACUUCAAACAUUUACCUAGAAUCAGCACGACGUCAAGGAUGGCGAAAAGCCGCACUCGCCCGACCUCCUCGCAGCAACACGACGUCGAAAGUGUGCUCGAACGGCUCCGCGGCACGACAUCGACGACCAAAUCCGAACUCCACCCGAGCUCCACCAUGCGCAAGAACCCAGCUAGAGAGAGAGGAGAAGAAGAAAAGCUCCUUCUCUCUGCUCUACACAAACCUAAAUAGAGAAAGAGAGAAAGGGUGAUACAAACGAGGGAGGGAAUUACCAAAUUAACCCUCUACCUACCCCCUUGUACCGGUACACGGGCUCCUGUACCGGUACAAGAGCCAACCCGAGAGCAGCUAAAUGGGUACGCGCUGGUUGUACCGGUACAGCGUGCUGGUUGUACCAGUACAGCAAGCAGAGAAAUCUGUUGUUUUGCAGAUUUCUUCGCUAUAAG
RNAcentral lists this long non-coding RNA (976 nucleotides) under Ananas comosus (pineapple). RNAcentral describes it as "long non-coding RNA (ACOM_LNC033367)". Lineage: Eukaryota; Viridiplantae; Streptophyta; Magnoliopsida; Poales; Bromeliaceae. The record is from RNAcentral.